ACGCUCGACACCUACGGUAGGCAGCAGUGGGGAAUAUUGCACAAUGGGGGGAACCCUGAUGCAGCGACGCCGCGUGAGUGAAGAAGUACUUCGGUAUGUAAAGCUCUAUCAGCAGGGAAGAAAAUGACGGUACCUGACUAAGAAGCCCCGGCUAACUACGUGCCAGCAGCCGCGGUAAUCUGAGGCGGCUGGCAAGGC
RNAcentral lists this ribosomal RNA (198 nucleotides) under uncultured bacterium. RNAcentral's name for it is "partial 16S ribosomal RNA". It matches the Rfam family "Bacterial small subunit ribosomal RNA", at positions 326 to 539 of the family's 1533-position model. The record is from RNAcentral.